ACACACAUCUGAGGACCUCAAUACAAUUAUAUAUUGCAUGUCAUGCCGUUUUAUAAUGUAUUGAGAAACUUCGACAGUCUCGGACCAUCACACUAUUCCCCUGUUAUCCCCGCUCGACCCAGCUACACUUUUAUUACCUGAAAGGAAUUGUGAAACAAAAGGGUGAGCAUAACUAGCCCAGUAAAGAAUAUCAUGACUAAAGAUAAUUAAAAUAUCAAUAGCCUUCAUCAUUUAUAAAUCAGAGAUUUAGAACAUAUGGCAGAUGAUAAAACUUUUCAACCAUAGUUGCAGCGGAACGAACA
RNAcentral lists this long non-coding RNA (302 nucleotides) under Panax ginseng (ginseng). RNAcentral's name for it is "long non-coding RNA (PGIN_LNC015733)". The record is from RNAcentral. Lineage: Eukaryota; Viridiplantae; Streptophyta; Magnoliopsida; Apiales; Araliaceae.